CUGGCUCAGGAUGAACGCUGGCGGUAUGCUUAACACAUGCAAGUCGAACGAAAUCUUCGGAUUUAGUGGCGGACGGGUGAGUAACGCGUGAGAAUCUGCCAUCAGGUCUGGGACAACCACUGGAAACGGUGGCUAAUACUGGAUGUGCCGAAAGGUGAAAGGUUAACUGCCUGUUGAUGAGCUCGCGUCUGAUUAGCUAGUAGGUGUGGUAAAGGCGCACCUAGGCGACGAUCAGUAGCUGGUCUGAGAGGACGAUCAGCCACACUGGGACUGAGACACGGCCCAGACUCCUACGGGAGGCAGCAGUGGGGAAUUUUCCGCAAUGGGCGAAAGCCUGACGGAGCAAUACCGCGUGAGGGAGGAAGGCUCUUGGGUCGUAAACCUCUUUUCUCAGGGAAGAACAAAAUGACGGUACCUGAGGAAUAAGCAUCGGCUAACUCCGUGCCAGCAGCCGCGGUAAUACGGAGGAUGCAAGCGUUAUCCGGAAUGAUUGGGCGUAAAGCGUCCGCAGGUGGCGAUGUAAGUCUGCUGUUAAAGAGUCUAGCUCAACUAGAUAAGAGCAGUGGAAACUACAUAGCUAGAGUACGUUCGGGGCAGAGGGAAUUCCUGGUGUAGCGGUGAAAUGCGUAGAGAUCAGGAAGAACACCAGUGGCGAAGGCGCUCUGCUAGGCCGUAACUGACACUGAGGGACGAAAGCUAGGGGAGCGAAUGGGAUUAGAUACCCCAGUAGUCCUAGCCGUAAACGA
This 746-nucleotide ribosomal RNA is filed under the name cyanobacterium cLA-12. Its description in RNAcentral is "bacterial SSU rRNA". It matches the Rfam family "Bacterial small subunit ribosomal RNA", at positions 19 to 809 of the family's 1533-position model. Lineage: Bacteria; Bacillati; Cyanobacteriota. RNAcentral also lists the same sequence under 1 other name. The record is from RNAcentral.